GCAAACUUGGUCAUUUAGAGGAAGUAAAAGUCGUAACAAGGUCUCCGUUGGUGAACCAGCGGAGGGAUCAUUACAGGAGCUUUACAACUCCCUAAACCAAUGCCUAUCUACCUUUUGUUGCUUUGGCAGGCGGCCCCUGGGAGGGGCUGUAGCCUUCUUGGCGCCUGCCAGAGGUUUUUACAAUUCUGUUUUAAUUGCUAUCUGAGUCACUACAAAAAUUAUUUAAAACUUUCAACAACGGAUCUCUUGGUUCUGGCAUCGAUGAAGAACGCAGC
RNAcentral lists this unclassified non-coding RNA (275 nucleotides) under uncultured fungus. Its description in RNAcentral is "partial contains small subunit ribosomal RNA, internal transcribed spacer 1, and 5.8S ribosomal RNA". The stretch from base 1 to 73 matches the Rfam family "Eukaryotic small subunit ribosomal RNA", at positions 1759 to 1831 of the family's 1831-position model. Lineage: Eukaryota; Fungi. The record is from RNAcentral.